CGUAGGGGGCAAGCGUUGUCCGGAUUUAUUGGGCGUAAAGAGCGUGUAGGCGGCUAGGUAGGUGGGUUGUGAAAACUGGAGGCUCAACCUUCAGACGUCGACCCAAACCCCCUAGCUAGAGUCCGGAAGAGGAGAGUGGAAUUCCUGGUGUAGCGGUGAAAUGCGCAGAUAUCAGGAAGAACACCCGUGGCGAAGGCGGCUCUCUGGGACGGUACUGACGCUGAGACGCGAAAGCGUGGGGAGCGAACAGGAUUAGAUACCCUGGUAGUCCACGCCGUAAACGAUGGGUGCUAGGUGCGGGGGGUGUCGACUCCCUCCGUGCCGAAGCUAACGCAUUAAGCACCCCGCCUGGGGAGUACGGCCGCAAGGCUA
This 372-nucleotide ribosomal RNA is filed under the name uncultured organism. RNAcentral describes it as "bacterial SSU rRNA". It matches the Rfam family "Bacterial small subunit ribosomal RNA", at positions 526 to 896 of the family's 1533-position model. The record is from RNAcentral.